RNAcentral lists this non-coding RNA (25 nucleotides) under Rattus norvegicus (Norway rat). Lineage: Eukaryota; Metazoa; Chordata; Mammalia; Rodentia; Muridae. The record is from RNAcentral.
UGGGUUCUGCUUUGCUCUUGGGUGU